GGGUUCGUAGCUCAGUUGGUUAGAGCGCAUGCUCGACACGCAUGAGGCCCCUGGUUCGAAUCCAGGCGGACCCA
RNAcentral lists this transfer RNA (74 nucleotides) under Patescibacteria group bacterium. RNAcentral describes it as "tRNA-Val". It matches the Rfam family "tRNA". Rfam says of the family: Transfer RNA (tRNA) molecules are approximately 80 nucleotides in length. Their secondary structure includes four short double-helical elements and three loops (D, anti-codon, and T loops). The record is from RNAcentral.